UCGGUAGGUGAACCUGCGGAAGGAUCAUUACCGAGUGCGGGUCCUUUGGGCCCAACCUCCCAUCCGUGUCUAUUGUACCCUGUUGGCACCGCGUGCCCGCCGCUUGUCGGCCGCCGGGGGGGCGCCUCUGCCCCCCGGGCCCGUGCCCGCCGGAGACCCCAACACGAACACUGUCUGAAAGCGUGCAGUCUGAGUUGAUUGAAUGCAAUCAGUUAAAACUUUCAACAAUGGAUCUCUUGGUUCCGGCAUCGAUGAAGAACGCAGCGAAAUGCGAUAACUAAUGUGAAUUGGAGAAUUCAGUGAAUCAUCGAGUCUUUGAACGCACAUUGCGCCCCCUGGUAUUCCGGGGGGCAUGCCUGUCCGAGCGUCAUUGCUGCCCUCAAGCCCGGCUUGUGUGUUGGGACGCCGUCCCCCUCUCCGAGGGGACGGGCCCGAAAGGCAGCGGCGGCACCGCGUCCGAUCCUCGAGCGUAUGGGGCUUUGUCACAUGCUCUGUAGGCACCGCGUCGCCUGCCGACGUUUUCCAACCAUUCUUUCCAUGUUGACCUCGAAUCAGGUAGGGAUACCCGCUGAACUUAAGCAUAUCAAUAAGCGGAGGA
Molecule: ribosomal RNA, 598 nt
Filed under: Aspergillus niger
Lineage: Eukaryota; Fungi; Ascomycota; Eurotiomycetes; Eurotiales; Aspergillaceae
Description: partial 18S ribosomal RNA
Rfam family: 5.8S ribosomal RNA (bases 217-370)
Source: RNAcentral